RNAcentral lists this long non-coding RNA (828 nucleotides) under Gossypium raimondii (Peruvian cotton). RNAcentral's name for it is "long non-coding RNA (GRAI_LNC000904)". The record is from RNAcentral. Lineage: Eukaryota; Viridiplantae; Streptophyta; Magnoliopsida; Malvales; Malvaceae.
AAGAAACAGAAAUUUUUUAACGUUUUCUCCAGCUAAAGGAAAAAAAACAAAAAUGAUCUUUGACCUUCAUGCACAACUUGAACCUGAAACAUUUACCAAAAGAAGAAAACAAAAUACUUGGUGUACAAGCCCAAUUUAUAGCCCAAAACCCAAUUAACCCUAAACUAAACAAAAACAAUUAAACCCCAACUACCCAAUUACAAGCCAAAGCCCAAAUCAGCAACCCAAUACCCAACUAGCCUAACCCGAAGCCCAUACCUAGCCCAACUACCCAACUGGCCCAAUCCCCCAAAGUCAAACUAGGGUUUCAGAAAAGAAACCCUAGCGCCGCAUCUGCUGACCAGCCGCCACUGCCACGGUCAUGUCGCCCACUUGCCCUGCCACCGUCGCUUCUGCCGCCGCACGUCCCAUCGCCACUUGCCUGCAAAACGAGAGAAAGAAAUGACAAGUAAUAAAUAAACAUUGUAAAAAUGGCUAUAAAGCCAUAGCAAAAAUUGUAAAACGGGGUCCCCUCCCCUUUUCUCUCGAUUUGGAGAAAUUAAAAACAAAAAAAACAGAUUCAACAACCCAUUUUCGGUAUAUUUAUUUUCUUUUUCUAAUUUUAAUUUUUUUUCUAUUUUUUUUCUUUCGAGUUAUUUGUGUUCGAUUUUGUUUCUUUUGUUUUUUAAAAACUAUAUAUAUAUAACAUAUAAAAAAAGCAGAAAAAAACAUACCUCCACCGUGUACGGUGGCCGGCGCGGCCGCGUCGACGGCGGAGGAUUGCCGGAGCCCAUGGCCGGACUUGGGGCCUGAGAGAGAAGGAGAGAGCUCUCUCUCUCUGUUUUUUUU